UUCUCUUCUAAGUUAAUGACUCCAGCACUUUGGAUAUUGACUUUAAAUUCAUGGAAGAUAUUGAGAAGUCUGAAGCUCGCAUAGGCAUUCCCAGUACAAAGUAUACAAAAGAAACACCCUUUGUUUUUAAAUUAGAAGAUUACCAAGAUGCUGUUAUCAUUCCAAGAUAUCGCAAUUUUGAUCAGCCUCAUCGAUUUUAUGUAGCUGAUGUGUACACUGAUCUUACCCCACUCAGUAAAUUUCCUUCCCCUGAGUAUGAAACUUUUGCAGAAUAUUAUAAAACAAAGUACAACCUUGACCUAACCAAUCU
This 310-nucleotide small RNA is filed under the name Pongo abelii (Sumatran orangutan). Its description in RNAcentral is "retained intron". The record is from RNAcentral. Lineage: Eukaryota; Metazoa; Chordata; Mammalia; Primates; Hominidae.